GGGUUGUGAGGUUAAGCGACUAAGCGUACACGGUGGAUGCCCUGGCAGUCAGAGGCGAUGAAGGACGUGCUAAUCUGCGAUAAGCGUCGGUAAGGUGAUAUGAACCGUUAUAACCGGCGAUUUCCGAAUGGGGAAACCCAGUGUGAUUCGUCACACUAUCAUUAACUGAAUCCAUAGGUUAAUGAGGCGAACCGGGGGAACUGAAACAUCUAAGUACCCCGAGGAAAAGAAAUCAACCGAGAUUCCCCCAGUAGCGGCGAGCGAACGGGGAGGAGCCCAGAGCCUGAAUCAGUGUGUGUGUUA
Molecule: ribosomal RNA, 303 nt
Filed under: Escherichia coli
Lineage: Bacteria; Pseudomonadati; Pseudomonadota; Gammaproteobacteria; Enterobacterales; Enterobacteriaceae
Description: partial 23S ribosomal RNA
Rfam family: Bacterial large subunit ribosomal RNA
Source: RNAcentral